RNAcentral lists this non-coding RNA (206 nucleotides) under uncultured Enterocloster sp. The record is from RNAcentral. Lineage: Bacteria; Bacillati; Bacillota; Clostridia; Lachnospirales; Lachnospiraceae.
AGAACUGGCAAUCCGACAGGUGGAAUGAAGGGGUAACGCCCUGAAACGCCUGCCCUGAACUCCGACUGGCGUUCCAUGCGAAAGCGGGAGGGUCAGAAGCUCGGCAAAGGCGGCAGAGAGCUGCCGUAGCGUGAAUCAGCGGAAUGCCACACGCCGAAAGCUGUCCAGAGGUGGAUGGUGCAGCCUAUAUGCCGGGGGUCUAUAAA